RNAcentral lists this ribosomal RNA (250 nucleotides) under uncultured bacterium. Its description in RNAcentral is "partial 16S ribosomal RNA". It matches the Rfam family "Bacterial small subunit ribosomal RNA", at positions 524 to 773 of the family's 1533-position model. The record is from RNAcentral.
GACAGAGGGUGCAAACGUUGUUCGGAAUUACUGGGCGUAAAGCGCGUGUAGGCGGCAACGCAAGUCGGGUGUGAAAGCCCUGGGCUCAACCUAGGAAGUGCACUCGAAACUGCGUUGCUUGAGUCUCGGAGAGGAUGGUGGAAUUCUCGGUGUAGAGGUGAAAUUCGUAGAUAUCGAGAGGAACACCCGUGGCGAAGGCGGCCAUCUGGACGAAGACUGACGCUGAGACGCGAAAGCAUGGGGAGCAAAC